AGCAGCCGCGGUAAUUCCAGCUCCAAUAGCGUAUAUUAAAGUUGUUGCAGUUAAAAAGCUCGUAGUUGAACUUCAGGCCUGGCUGGACGGUCCGCCUUCCGGGCGAGUACUGUCUGUGGUCGGGUCCUACCUUCUGGCGAAGCGUCAUGGCCUUAACCGGCCGUGGCGGGGAAACCAGGACUUUUACUGUGAAAAAAUUAGAGUGUUCAAAGCAGGCAAUUCGCUUGGAUACAUUAGCAUGGAAUAAUGGAAUAGGACAAUGGUUCUAUUUGUUGGUUUCUAGGACUGUUGUAAUGAUUAAUAGGGAUAGUUGGGGGCAUUAGUAUUCAAUUGUCAGAGGUGAAAUUCUUGGAUUUAUUGAAGACUAACUACUGCGAAAGCAUUUGCCAAGGAUGUUUUCAUUAAUCAAGAACGAAAGUUAGGGGAUCGAAGACGAUCAGAUACCGUCGUAGUCU
This 455-nucleotide ribosomal RNA is filed under the name uncultured Paraglomus. RNAcentral describes it as "SSU rRNA". It matches the Rfam family "Eukaryotic small subunit ribosomal RNA", at positions 569 to 1026 of the family's 1831-position model. Lineage: Eukaryota; Fungi; Glomeromycota; Glomeromycetes; Paraglomerales; Paraglomeraceae. The record is from RNAcentral.